This 85-nucleotide ribosomal RNA is filed under the name Cryobacterium sp. MDB2-A-1. RNAcentral also lists the same sequence under 1 other name. Lineage: Bacteria; Bacillati; Actinomycetota; Actinomycetes; Micrococcales; Microbacteriaceae. The record is from RNAcentral.
UUCGGCGGCUAUAGCGAGAGGGAAACGCCCGGUCACAUUCCGAACCCGGAAGCUAAGACUCUCAGCGCCGAUGGUACUGCAGGGG